Long non-coding RNA from Dipodomys spectabilis (banner-tailed kangaroo rat), 99 nucleotides. RefSeq lists it as uncharacterized. NCBI's taxonomy places the organism in Eukaryota, Metazoa, Chordata, Mammalia, Rodentia, Heteromyidae. The record is from RefSeq and is a predicted model, not a curated record. The transcript is spliced from 4 exons.
UGACGACCUGAUUACAGGCACUGCACACUACGAGAUAGAAGUCGUCAUGUGCUGGAUAAUGGCCAAAUAAGUGCAUAUCUUCUUUAUUAAGCCCCAUAA